This 386-nucleotide ribosomal RNA is filed under the name Monochamus carolinensis. RNAcentral's name for it is "partial 12S ribosomal RNA". The record is from RNAcentral. Lineage: Eukaryota; Metazoa; Arthropoda; Insecta; Coleoptera; Cerambycidae.
CUAGGGAUAGAUACCCUAUUAUUAUAAAUGUAAAAUUAAACUAGAUUAGUAUUAGUUAUGUUCUUGAAAAUUAAAAAUUUUGGCGGUUUUUUAGUCUAUUCAGAGGAACCUGUUCUAUAAAUGAUAGUCCACGAUUUAAAUGUCCUUUAUUAAUAGUUUGUAUAUCGUCGUAGUUUGAAUAUUUUAAAAGAAUUUUAAUAUUCAAAAUUUAUUUAAAUAAAGAAUAUCAGAUCAAGGUAUAGCUUAUAUAAAGGUAGAAAUGGGUUACAUUAAUUUUAAUUUUGGAUUAUUAAUUUAAAAUUAAUAUGAAAAAGGAUUUGAUAGUAAUUUUUAAAAAUUUUAAUAAUGAUUUUAGCUCUAAAAAAUGUACAUAUCGCCCGGUCGCU